RNAcentral lists this ribosomal RNA (468 nucleotides) under uncultured bacterium. RNAcentral's name for it is "partial 16S ribosomal RNA". It matches the Rfam family "Bacterial small subunit ribosomal RNA", at positions 28 to 507 of the family's 1533-position model. The record is from RNAcentral.
GACGAACGCUGGCGGCGUGCUUAACACAUGCAAGUCGAACGGAAAGGCCCUGCUUUUGUGGGGUGCUCGAGUGGCGAACGGGUGAGUAACACGUGAGUAACCUGCCCUUGACUUUGGGAUAACUUCAGGAAACUGGGGCUAAUCCCGGAUAGGAGCUCCUGCUGCAUGGUGGGGGUUGGAAAGUUUCGGCGGUCGGGGAUGGACUCGCGGCUUAUCAGCUUGUUGGUGGGGUAGUGGCAUCCCAAGGGCUUGAAGGAUAGGCGGCCCGAGAGGGUGGACGCCGACCAUGGGACUGAGGUACGGCGCAGACUGGUACGGGAGGCAGCAGUGGGAAAUAUGGUACAAUAGGCGGAAGCCUGAGACGAAAACGCCGCGGGUGGGAAGCCGGCUUGCGGGGUGUAAACCGCUUUAGCCUAUGACGAAGCGUGAGUGACGGUAAUGGAAGAAUAAGCACCGGCUAACUACGUG